AAUGGGCGAAAGCCUGAUCCAGCAAUGCCGCGUGUGUGAAGAAGGCCUUAGGGUUGUAAAGCACUUUCAGUAAUGAAGAAGUAAUAAAUGCUAAUAUCAUUUAUUAUUGACGUUAGUUACAGAAGAAGUACUGGCUAACUCUGUGCCAGCAGCCGCGGUAAUACAGAGAGUGCAAGCGUUAAUCGGAAUUAUUGGGCGUAAAGGGUGUGUAGGUGGUUAAAAUAGUUAAAUGUGAAAUCCCAAAGCUUAACUUUGGAACUGCGUUUAAUACUUUUUGACUAGAGUAUUGUAGGGGAAAGUAGAAUUUUCGGUGUAGCGGUGAAAUGCGUAGAUAUCGAAAGGAAUACCAGAGGCGAAGGCGACUUUCUGGGCAAAUACUGACACUGAAACACGAAAGCGUGGGGAGCAAA
RNAcentral lists this ribosomal RNA (410 nucleotides) under uncultured bacterium. RNAcentral's name for it is "bacterial SSU rRNA". It matches the Rfam family "Bacterial small subunit ribosomal RNA", at positions 370 to 772 of the family's 1533-position model. The record is from RNAcentral.